ACACAAUCGCAGGACUGACGGAUUUCAACCGCAAACGCUGCACAAGGACCCAAAACAACAACAAAAAGUCAUCACCUUGUCACCUUGGUGACGUUCUGCCCAUAACAAACUCUCAUCUGCGUGGGAUCAAGUCCUCCUGAAACACCUGGCCUGCGCGGCCUGCAGGCGCGUGCUGAUAUCAGGUUCACUUUAUUCAGGCAGGUCGGACCAGACUGGCAGGUAGCUGCACUGAAGUCCUGACUGAAGACUAUUAGACAGUUGCUGCUGCCGCGCUGUCUCUCUGAAGAUGGACAGCUCGUCUAAAGCCUGCAGCGUCUCACCGGCCUGUUGGAAGAGCCAAAGACAGACAGGCAAUCUAAAGUCAAAGCUCCCUGUUUAUUUGCUCAUCGAUGGACAAGAAGGCAACUGUCAAGACCCCGUGUGAUUGACUCCAAAUGUCAAAGCAAGCACAAAAGAUGGACGUCAUCUGUGCAAAAGGAGUGGUGGGGGGGUUGUGGCACAUGUUAAUCUAGUUUGGGUGUGAUGUUAGAAUAAGUGAAUAAGUGUUGCUGGAUGUUCAUGUAAAAUACUUUUGCAAGGUCAACUAGCUCACCUCCCCACCACCCCCAAAACAAGCAUCUGUUGAUCAAGUCUGUCGAAUGCAGUAACGGAGAAGAAGCUCCGCCUCCUUAGAUGUAAUAUCACAUAGGAUGCUGCACAGGUUUUGAUACAAGAAAGCUGCUGGCACAACAAAAUAUCUCACUAGACUACACGAGCCUCAUUGUGUGUGCGCGCGCGCACAGAUCACAGGCGGUUCCUCCCCGAAGAACCUCAAGCGAUACGCCGUAACCCCACCAGAAACGUGAUUAUACCAUCUGAAAUCCUUUUGGUUUCAAGUAUAAGUUUCUCACCAACAGCACGAUUCUCGGACUCAUCGAGGCCAUUAACUUCCCUAGUUUCCAUAACAACCACGACAUAUUGUUUAUACACUGCACUGGGAUCAAGAGAGGGAGUUGAAGAUGUAUUUCUUGUUUCAUUGCUUUGUUUGCCUCAGCAUGCUAUCAUCAUUAAAAAUGCAGAUUGGAUGGUGUGCCUGGGACUCGAGUCUCCACCUCCAGUUUGUCCUUUCAGGCCAUCUGUCGACGUCAACACUGGACUAUAUAUCGAUGCUGAGCUGAAAUAUUUCUAUCAAUGUAUGGUCAAACAAUUCUGCAUCGUUGUGUUUAAUUUUGUUGGUAUGGAUAAAGCAGAUGGUCAACCCACCAAGCCUGGUCUGCUUGAGGUUUCCGCCUAUAAUCGAAAAACACCUCAAGAGUUCCAGACCACUUUCACCAGCGAGCUUGCGCAGAGGGUGGGCAAAAAUGUGCAGCACUCAUCCCUGUUUCUACUAUGGUCACAAAAAAUUGCAACUAGACACACAUAUACACACACACAAAAAAUACAUAGGGAGGAUGUGGUUGAAUUAAGACAUAGUAAUAAGAAGUUAAUAACCAUGUACGACUGCAUCAAUGUAUUUAUGAUGUAAUUAAACCUAGACAAAAUAUGGAUUAGAAAAUGCAUACUUUUCCAUUAUGACUACGUCCCCUCUGCGUUUAAAAUUUUCAGGAUACAGCGCGGCCUUCACUGUCGUCAUGUGUUGGGCCCCGAAGGUUCCUUGUGGCGACUUUUGUUGUAAUUUCACGUCGUAUAAAUUGACUGAACAGAAAACGGAUUGUAUCCUCACUAACGGACCUCAGUGAAACUGUGAAAUGCGAGGAUAACAGUCAGAAAGACUGAAAGAAACAGCGCCACCUAAAGAGACGAGCCUGUAUCCUGACUGUGUUGUCAUUAACUGCAUAGCUUUUCUACUGUUCUAGCAGUUGCUUUGUCGAAUUUUCAAAUUUGCAUUCGUCUCAUCAGAAAGGUUACUAUUAAGAUUUUUAAACACCCAACAUUGUUAGUCUACCUCUGGUGUAUGGCUCUAUGAAUUACCAUGUAUGUAAAAAAA
Molecule: long non-coding RNA, 1966 nt
Organism: Thalassophryne amazonica
Lineage: Eukaryota; Metazoa; Chordata; Actinopteri; Batrachoidiformes; Batrachoididae
Exons: 2
Source: RefSeq, a predicted model, not a curated record